Molecule: long non-coding RNA, 7928 nt
Filed under: Mus musculus (house mouse)
Lineage: Eukaryota; Metazoa; Chordata; Mammalia; Rodentia; Muridae
Description: dynamin 3, opposite strand
Rfam family: mir-214 microRNA precursor family (bases 5754-5854)
Source: RNAcentral
UUUUCCUGGUCCUAAAUUCAUUGCCAGUUCCCUAGUCUGCUGCAAAUGUGCCACGUCAAGACUGGAAAUCACAGCCCUUUAGUGUGUCUCAGUCGAUGCAGCAGACAGGGUUCAGGGGGGAAGCUGAACAAGCCCCUGGUGCAGGAAGACAGGCUCUCCCCAGCCCCGGGACAGGAUUUUCCACACACCGAUGGAAGCUUCAGGAGAUCCUGCUCCGUCGCCCCAGUGUUCAGACUACCUGUUCAGGACAAUGCCGUUGUACAGUAGUCUGCACAUUGGUUAGACUGGGCAAGGGCCAGCAACGCCAUGGACGGCUGGGGACACAAUGUGCUGCUUCCAAGGAGAGGACAGCUGGGUGCUCCUUUGUUGAAUCUCAUAUCCAGUGUUUCUCUUCACAGGUUUUGCAAACUAGGGACCAAGAAGCCCUCAGGGACUCUGCCAGGGGAGAGGACUGCUCCAGGGAAGACCAGCGGGUAAGGCCUCUGGGAUUGCGUACCUGGUCUGUGAUUGGGGAACUAGAUAGAGAUCCCAUCACCUGUGUGAAGACGCUGGAGACACUGAGCUAAGGGACAGAUAACCGUGAACUUAACUUUCAAAAGAGCAAGGUCGUAUGGUAAAUUGUGAUUUUCUGUGUGUUUUUUAUAAGUCUAAAUGUUGAUCGUUCAAAUGCUUUCUUAAAUGUAAGGGUCUUCCGCUUCAAAAUAAAAGGUGGGGAAAAAAACCUCACUCCAGACAAGUAGCAAAAACUGAACGAGACUUAGUUUUGAAUGGUUGAAACUGAUAAUUCAGAGACUUAAACUCGAGCAUGGAUGAGCUAUGUAUGCAACCUCUAACACUCCAGGAAUGAAUGCAUUUUGCCCUAAAGGAAAAAAAUGCAAUUUUCAAAACUCUUGUAUGAACAGGGAGCUUUUCUGUUUAUCUAUAUAAUAGAAACACCAGAAAUAAUAGUACCUAACGAUAAGAAGCAGUCUAGUCUUUUGUUUUUUGCUUUUUUGUUUUGUUAUUUUACUAUCAGACAAUGCAAACGCACUUAGCCAGAGAUGAGGGCCCAAGUGCCAAACCCACAUCUUACUGACUCAGCAACUUAGCAGGCCAGGGGAAUAGCGCUCUGUCUUUAGUGGGCUCACUAGAUAACAUUGAAAUUGUUCUUCUAAAAUCCAAGAAUGGCUGAUACUUGCUGGUCAGCUGAGCCUGCUGGCCCAUCUUUUUUUUUUUUUUUUUUUUUUUUUUUAACAAGGCUCUCACUUGUCCUGGGCCUUUGAAAUGAUAAGGCACGUUGUCUAAAAAGAUGCUGAUAAAACAGGAAUUUGUAAACGAAGGCAAAAGUUUUCUUUGGUCAGUUUCCAGCUGUCCUGGAGGUGAAGGAGAGUGGGGGAGGUAGGCAGACUGGAAGCAAGAAAACUUCCUCUGGCUGAAUGAAAUACUGAAAGAGAAAAUACUAGAAGAAUCUGGGUCACUAAGUAAGCUGGGAGGUUUGUAUUGAGCAUCAGCGGUGGCUCCGUUAAAGAAAGUUCUGGGAGAAAAUGUUGCUGCUGUACCCAUAAAGUCUCGCCUUUCAUUUAUUUUCACCCCUGGAAAAUUUCAUUCCACAUUCUAUGGGAUGAAAUAUUAUCUGCUCAUUGAGCUUUCUGUGCAAAACGAAUACACUGUCUUUUGUCUUUUAAAGUGUGAAUCUUUGUCUAAGUUACACAUUCUCCAAUAACCCAAAGGAGAGUGCAAACUCUCCUUAGUAAAAUACUAUAGUAUAGCUGCAUCUCUGAGUUUUCUUCUUACAAUUUUUAUUUUUAAAAAAUUAUGCUUCAUAUAAUCCCAAAACUGGUAUCUUGGUCAUAAAAUUUUCUGAUGAAUUAUGGCAAUUAAGUAAGAAAUAUAGCGGGGGACAUUUAACUGCUUGUCACUUAGGUGAAACAGGCGAGGCACCAUUCAUUGUUCUGUGAGAGUUGAAGAAUCUUAAUUAUUUUUAAAAGAAGAGUUGAGAUUAUAUAUAUAUACACACAUACAUAUCACUUUGUUUGCACAGGAAAUUAAAAGCACUAUUAGUUCACUUAUGGAAGUUGUGUGUCUCAGGAAACACACUUUCUUGACUAACGCGUCACGAAAGAGGACAGAGAAGAAUCACUUGGAUCAUAUUUAAGAUUUCUCUAAUUUUGAGGGCCUAUUGUAUACUAGAAAUAAUUGAAUUUUAUAACUUGCCUUUAUUUAAUGAUAUUUAAUUUAAAAUUUUCUCUUCAUAUUAAAUGCAUUUUUUUUAAUUUCAAGAAGAAUAACCUUUCUUCACAGGUCCCUUCCCUAUUUCUCCCAUGGGACAGUUUUUAGUCUGAAGAUACAAAGGGCAUAAGGGUGAUUCUCCUGUAAGUUCAACAGUAAAAAGUAACAAUUUCUUUGUAAACCCGGAGUCUCUGCCUGUUCUUGGUUGGAGUUCUAACACACCAUUUUCAAGGAAAAUUCUAAAUGAAUGAAGGAGUGUGGUACUUAAUUUUAAAUGUAUGAGUUAUAUUAAAAGUACAAAAAAGUUGUUUGAUAACCCUCUGCUGUAUGAAGACAUGGUGUUAAGCCUGUGUGCUGGUGGAUAUAUCCCUUAUAGACACUUUAGGAUAAAAAUAAAGAUAUCGAUUCCAAAAUAAUUAGAAGAAUGUCUAAUUUUAUUCCAAUAUUACUUCCAAAGAGGAUAUACAAAUAUUUUAGGGAUGGUGGAAUCUAGGGCAGAAGAGAGUAACCAGCAGCAAACAUCUUGCUCUGGAUAGUAUGGUAAGUCUAAAUAGAAAAGUGAAACAUUGUAGGUGCUCAUAAAAAGGAAACUGUUUGCAGGGUUUGUCCAACCUUAACGUUAGUGAAAAUUGCACCCUUGUUUCUUAUUUCAGAGAAUCAAUGAUGGAUAAGCUAGGCUAGGUACUGAAGUCAAAAAGAUUUUUUUCAACCAUCAGAGAGAAAGGAAAUUCUAAGCUGCAACCUCAACUCCAUCACUUCAGAGUCUAAUUUCUCAAAACAAGGUUUUUUGAUUUUUUUUUUUUAACCAUAGAUCUCAAAAUCAAGGAAAGUUUGUUUGUACGGAGACAAAGUGUGUCACAGAUCGCUCUCGUCCAAUUAGUUAACAUGCUAGCCCUCCUUCCUGCUUGCCCUUGAACCUUUGGCUAGGAGAAGGUAUUUGUUUUUAAAAGACAAUCUCCCCCACCUUUUGCCUAUGGACCACCCAAGUAUUUCACUCCACGGGAAAGAGAAAGCUUAGGCAUAAAAGAUACUACGAAAAUAAUGUGCCCUCUCCCCCUUGUUGGAGUCUAAAGCUGAUAUGGGAAAAAGAAACUGCAAGUUGUUUAAAAAGUUUAAAGAGUCACUCAUCCACAAAUGUUCAUUAUCACUGAAGGAAGCUUAUCAUCCAGUGAGUCUGUAAGGGAACUGCUCUUUAAAAUCAACCUUUUCUCUUAUCUCAUGACAAUAGCCUACCCACCACCAUGAUGUCCAAAUAGUAACUAUGAGACCAUCAUAUAGAGAUCCCAGCUUAAAAUAAGCAAGGGGGAGGGGGGCAGACUCUAGCCUGAGGCAAGUGAAGGUUGAAACUUCCCAAAUCUUUCUUUCUUUUUUUUUUUUUAACCUUGGUGUCCUGCAGAUGAUGUCCAUGUAAAUAUUUAGCCUCUUUUCAAAGGACUUAAUACUGAGUUUCCUUUUUUUUUUUUUUUAAGUCAUCUGAGUUAAAGAAAAUCAUCAAGUCUUUACUUCAUAUCUUCUGACUUCUUGUGAAAGCCAGUUUAUUACAGUUGGUGUGGUUCAAGUUUCCUGCUGGAUGUUUAGGAGAGAAUUAUUUUCUUACAUUUCUGUCUUGGGACACGACACCAUCAACACAUUAUCACAGACUAUGACAACUACAUAUUAAUGUUUGCAUCUUUUAAGUAGUCACCAAAUAAGUAUGGCUUGGGAAUGCAAGGUGGCGGGAGUCUUUCUGACUUUUUUAACGUGUCUAGAGCAGGUUUAAAUUAUAAAUUAUAAUUAUAAUAUUAAAAAUUAUGAUCAUGCUACAUAUUCACUAUAAAUAUUUUUAAUCGAUCAAAAAAUAAAUUGUCCCCAAAUCUCAUGAAUAAAAUAAUUAUUCCCCCUGCCACCUUAUUUUGAUUAAUUUUUCUCUUCAGAAAAGCCAUUAUGAUAGUUUAGCCUCAAACAUUUUAGAUAGCAUGGUAUAAAUAAAACUGCUUCUUACUGAAGGAUAACACAUGGACUCACUGUUUUUUGUAUUUUUCAGGCUGUACCGUUCCUUUACUUGAGCAGAGUAAACUGGAUCAGAUUACUUAAGGGAGAGGGGAAAGCAAUACAGAAUUAUAGUAACUUUUAAUGGCUGCUAAUAUAUUCUUCGUAAGUGAAUCACUCUAUUAUGCUUUUCUGUUGUACUGAAUGAAACAACAAAGGAAAUAGUAUUUCAAGGUAUUCCAUUUUUGUAUACUUGACUUUGUAACUACUUGAAUAGCAGCCAAGCUCUUGUGCUCUGAAGUGUUGGACAGAAGCACACGUUUAUCUUCUUGAACUUAAAGAAGUCCAGAUAUAGUUGCACUUAUCAACUCGGUUAAAAGGAUACCAUCUCUAGGCACUGCACAAAAGUUCAAAUGUGCAGCAAACUGUUCUUUUUCUCAUUCUCAAAAAAGAUUUUAUUGUUCAUAAAACUUCUGCCUGCAUUUUUUUUUCUUUUUAGGUUUUCCAAUUAAAGGUAAAUAAGGAAGUAUUUGUUUUCUUUAAAGAUAAUCUCUAAUGUAUACCUCUUGGAUAAUAAUGUAUUUUGUUUUUAAAGAAAUUCCAAUUUUUAGACUUUCAACUCUUUGGCUGUUUUUGUGUUUAAAAUGACAGUGAAGUUGUUAAAUAUCUCUGCAUAUGCAAAUUGACUAAGUAUGUUAAAAAUAGCAGAAUUCCUGACUCAGCAGGAUUGCAGUUUGCUUCUGUGUACUUAACACAAUUAAUUCAGAUUGUCAUUUUGGAUAUGAAGUGAACUUUCCUUUUCUGUGUUUAAGGUCCUACUCUGUAAUGAUAUUGUAUUAACAACAUCAAAAACACAUUCAGAGCACUAGUGUGGGAAAGAACAUUCUAGAUCAUGACUUUGAUUCAUGGUCUCACCCUGCUUGUUAAUCAAGGGGGAUAGAAGCUUAUGAACUCUUUGGUUUUCAUAUGGAUAUUAUAAAAAGAAAAGAAAAAUUUAAAUACAUUUCUGUUGCUUGGAGAGAUAUAUAUAUCCAAAAUCUGUUAGGUGGAUUGCCAGACACUUUAGGCUCAUUAAUAUUUUGAGAAUGGCUGCUGUUACCAUGUAGAUAACAAUAUAUUUUUUCAUGGGCAAGGCUAUGGCACUUACCUACUCUGAAAAACAUGUAUAAACAUAGACUUUAAUUUCACUAUUAAGAGAUGCAGAGGUCUUGUGAAAAGAAAAAAACAUAUGGUUUGAUUACUUUGAAUUCUGACUGCAUGAGGGCCAGUAACAACAGGAACUGGAUUUUAAAAGUUUAUGUUGUUAUUUUUUUUUCCUUAAAAUCAUGUGAAUUUUCUGUUUUUGACAAUUAUCCUUGUUAGCAACAUUUGGAUCAAAUGUAUGAGUGUACUUCUGAAUAAAGCCAAACGUCUAACUUCUUUUUAGUUCCAUAAUGUUUUAAUGUUUAAUUCUAUUGUGUGUUUCUCUCCUUUCCCUUUAUCCCCCUGUCCUUCCCCCCUAAAUCACCAAAUCUGGAAAACAGGCUGAUUGUAUCUGUCCCUGAGCAAAGGAAACCUGAAGGACCCAAGGGCCUGGCUGGACAGAGUUGUCAUGUGUCUGCCUGUCUACACUUGCUGUGCAGAACAUCCGCUCACCUGUACAGCAGGCACAGACAGGCAGUCACAUGACAACCCAGCCUGAAUGACCACCAGCCAUUGAAAGAAAGCUGCCCUCACAACAUAGCAUCUACACCAAGAGCUACAACCACAGUGAGGGGGUUGGGGGGCCUGGGGUUUGAAACUGUUGGCUUAUUAAAAGAAAAACUCGUAUGUAAUCCUUUGAUUUUUUUUGAUUCGCAUAUUAAAACCUACCCGAAGUAAAGUGAGUGGUGCCUAUGAAGCCUAAUAAAGCCCAUUUCUGAAAAUGCUCCUGUGUCUGCCAUGGUCCUACUGCCUCCACCACACUCUCGACAUUCACUGCACACACCUUUGCUGCCUCCUGACACUGACGUGAAAACCAAUUCGACAAAACCAUUUGGCUUCAGUUGGAUGUUUGUCGAAGAGGAAAUUAUUCUGCUGGGUCUUGUCUAUAAAUGAUUGUUUAUUUGUACUGUAACUUUUAAGUGGGGGGGGGGGGAGGGGAGAGAGGGGAAGUAUGGAGAGAAGAGACAGAAUAAACAAGUAACAAUAUAUUCUAAAGGAUCAAGUAUUUCAAGUUAACAAACUGCCAGUCUGGCCUGGGUAAAAGAUAUUUUAAAAUAUCCCUAGUAGAUUUUUCACUCAUAUUCAAAUAACAGUUUCUCUUCUUGGGAUAAACAAGAAUAUUGAACCGUCAAUAUUUCUGAGUGCUAUAGCACACACAGACUAGCUACCAUGUUGCUGUUUAGCUAAGAAAGCUUUUCUAGUGCAGUCACAGGGAUAAAAUAUAGAAAUCUGAUUUGCUUACUUGGGAUCUAUGUUUCCAGUCACGUAAGCUCUCAACCCAAGAUUUUUCAAACCCGUUGAUAAUUUCAAAAAAGCAAAGAUAGCCCUGCAUGACAUAUUUUGCCCUAAUUUCUGAGGAAAUAUCAAAGUUUCUGUUCUGACAUGAACUGGAGAAGUGGUCAGGGCUGGCUUUGUAUAUGAGCAUUUAAAAAAAAAAAACAACAAUAAGGAUAACAUGCAGAGACAGGUAAAUUUAGAAAAUUAUUCUAUUUUGACCUUGUUUAUUAACAUAUUUUACCUUUCAAUGUUUCACAUUUAACUUUUUCUUAUAUUCUAAUCAAGUUUUAAAAUUAUAAUCUGAGGCUACCCCAAACUAUUUUGUAAUGAUUGAAAUAACAAUCUCAAGCAAACUGCCUUGCCCACAGGCCUUUCAUUUUUAAAAUAUAAGAUUUAAUCUUAAGGCUAAGAGUUCACAGUUUCCAAAUUUUCUGAAUUCUAUGGUAUUUGUACUAGAUGUGACACUAUACUUUCUUUAAAAGAAAGAGUCAUAGGCAAAACUGUGUCAUGAAAAUAUGAAUAAAGUUAAAUGUCUUGCAUGUAAACAAUCUGGACUCACAGAAACUAUAUCCCAUGCAAAAAAUGAUCUGUUUUGCCUUUAUGAAACUCGUGAGGAAUUAACAGGGCUUUUUGCCUUAGAGGAAACUCCCAUGACCACCCAACAGAAUGCUGAAUGAUACAUCACAAAACGUGAAGUAUAAACAGGAAGUAUAAACUGUCCAUAAGGCUAUUUGCAUAGUCCUACCCAACUUUAAAUGCUUUACAGGAACUGCAGCAGACACUACCAGAGCGCUCAUGAUGAGUUAUUCUUCCAGGGCAGGAAUGUACCCCGUUCAGGGUGACACAGUGUCCCAGUCAGAACACGAAGGAACUGGGGGUUAACAGGGAUAUCCAGCAUAAUGUAUCAAAUAAUUUUUCCAUAAAUCAUAAAAAAUACCCUUAAAAACGUUUCUGACUCUGCUCUCAAAAGCCUUGACUGUCUUAUAUGCACCUUAAAUUCAUAAAAUAAGGCACACUUGAGAUUUUAUCCUUCUGGGAAAGGGGUAAUAUAAAGAAUGUGGACUUUGCAGCAUUAGAUUUGGAAACAACAAACAGUAGUAGUCGGUUUGUAGUUAAAGGAUACUUUGAGUAAUUUUGAAAUGGCACUGGCCAUUACCGUGUAUUAAAUAACACUUAUUUUAUUUCCUAAAUCAUAAAUCUUUGGAGAAUGCCAGGAUGUGGAAAUAAUCAACCUCAUAUUUAAAAGCACAAUGGAAGUUACUUUCUAUAGGAAUAAAAAUUACAAGUAUGAA